GACAGAGGCCACGAGCGUUGUUCGGAAUCACUGGGCAUAAAGCGCACGUAGGCGGCUAGGUCCGUCCAAUGUGAAAGCCCCCGGCUCAACCGGGGAAUUGCAUCGGAUACAGCCUGGCUUGAGGACGGUUGGGGUGAGUGGAACUCCUGGUGGAGCGGUGAAAUGCGUAGAUAUCAGGAGGAACACCGGUGGCGAGAGCGGCUCACUGGACCGUUACUGACGCUGAGGUGCGAAAGCUUGGGGAGCGAACAGG
This 253-nucleotide ribosomal RNA is filed under the name uncultured bacterium. RNAcentral's name for it is "partial 16S ribosomal RNA". It matches the Rfam family "Bacterial small subunit ribosomal RNA", at positions 524 to 776 of the family's 1533-position model. The record is from RNAcentral.